Molecule: long non-coding RNA, 2216 nt
Organism: Homo sapiens (human)
Lineage: Eukaryota; Metazoa; Chordata; Mammalia; Primates; Hominidae
Exons: 2
Source: RefSeq, a predicted model, not a curated record
AGUUACUACUGCCUCCGCCCCAUGCUGUGGAGCCCGGCUGGAAGCCCGGGGGUUGUUGGGUCUUCACCCGGGAAAUGGGGAGAGAGACUGCGGGGCAGCUGGCACCACAUACGUGCCUUACAGGGGAGAGGAGAGGAGAAGAAAUGGUGGUAGAGAAAGAAAGGCAAGGGGAGCUGUGCAGAACCACCCGGAAGCUUGAGAGUUCAACGCGGAGAACCUGCUCUGUGCCAGGCCCCCACCUGGGAGGUGUGGGCAACCUUCCUGCCUUCCGGGUGCUCAGAGUCUAGUCUGGAGACAAUAAGAAAAAUGGUUAAUCACCAUGGAAUGUGCUAGCGCCUUAGCCCGAAGCAGGGGUCUGGUUAUUGAGGUUUGUUGAAGGAAGAUGCCUGUAAGGGCUGGGUGCGGUGGCUCACGCCUGUAAUCCCAGCACUUUGGGAGACCAAGGUGGGCGGAUCACCUGAGGUCAGGUGUUCGAGAUCAGCUUGGUCAACAUGGUGAAACCCUGCCUCUUCUAAAAAUGCAAAAAUUAGCCAGGCGUGGCAGUAGGUGCCUGUAAUCCCAGCUACUCGGGAGGCUGAGGGAGGAGAAGCACUUGAACCCGGGAGGCAGAGGUUGCAAUGAGCUGAGAUUGGCCACUGCACUCCAGCCUGGGUGACAAGAGCAAAACUCCCCCUCAAAAAAAGAAAAGAGGGGGAGGGCAGGGGAGAAGGGGGAAGGGGGAAGGAAAGCAGGUAUUGAAGGAGAAAUUGCUGAGCUGGGCUCAGGUCUAGCCUUGGCCUGGGUUAGAGGAGUGGGCUCCAAGCAGAGUGGCCCCCUUAGAGGCAAAGAGAAUGGCCUUGUCUGCCUCCUUUCAGGCUUUGGAUGGGGCUGAUAGGUGAGGUGGUGGGUGCUUGUCAGCCAAGGGCCCCUCCACAUAAGGGGACAGGUGGGGGGCAGCUGCGAGUCUGUAGACCCAAGACUUGCAGCAGCUGGAGGACCGGUGAGCAGCCUGGUAAAGCGACCUGGGGAGGCACCAGCAGCAUCUGCUGCAGUAUGGCCACACUAGCUGUUUGAUGGAGGACAGGGUAGGGAGCAGAGAGUAGGGAGCCGAGGGCAGGGAGCUUCCAGAAGGUCAUUCUGCUGCAUUGUGAAGAACAGCUGAGGAGGCGGCCAAGAGAAGAAAGGUCCGAGGGGGGCCGGGCGCAGUGGCUCACGCCUGUAAUCCCAGCACUUUGGGAGGCCGAGGCGGGUGGAUCAUGAGGUCAGGAGUUUGAGACCAGCCUGGACAACAUGGUGAAACCCCGUCUCUCCUAAAAAUAUAAAAAUUAGCUGGGGCAUGGUGGUGCGUGCCUGUAGUCCCAGCUACUCGGGAGGCUGAGGCAGGAGAAUUGCUUGAACCCAGGAGGCAGAGGUUGCAGUGAGCCAAGAUUGUACCACUGCACUCCCGCCUGCACGACAGCAUGAGACUCUGUCUUAAAAAAAAAAAAAAAUGGCCCGAGGGGUCGACAUGUGCAGAAGUUACAGGAGCACACAGCCCUUUCUGGAAACCCUAAGAUGUUUAAGGGUAACACGGGGUAUGGGGGGAAGCAGGAGGUGGUGGUGAGAGAAGAGGCCUGACCCUGAAGGGUCACGUGUGCUCAACAAAAACAGGAGUUCUAAAAGAACCGGAUUUUCCUUUCACCCCACCUCAGUUUUUUCUGCAAACAGUUGUGCGUGAAAUCAGGACCCAGAUGCUGCAGAACUGAAGUGGGAAGGGACUGACCACCACUGGGCAAAAGGCCGAAGAGGGUAGGCCACAGAGGGGCUGUCUCUAAGGGCUAAAAAUACAAGGGUUGAGACCAACUGAAGUGUGGCGAUUUCCUUGACGUUGGCAUUUUGGUUUUGUUUUCCUUUUUUUAAGAUAAGAGUUAUAUAGUAACUCAGAGCUCAGUAACAUCAGCAUUUUGGAAGUAGGAUAGGAAGAAAGUCUCAUCACAAGGGAGCCCUGUGGAGAGGAAUGAGCACAGAAUUUGGAGUCAGAAGAGUGGAAGGCCUGGGCUUGGGGCCUGGCUGCACCGUGCCGGCUGGAUUGUUCUGGGAAAGCUGCCCAACUCUCUGCUCCGCAGUCCCCACAUCUGUCACUAGGGAUCAUAUCUGCCUCACAGGAUCAGCUGAGAUAAGGCACGUGUGUAAAAGGCUGUACAAAUGUUAGUUACUAUAAGGUUGUCUCAAAAAAAUAAAACCCACGGCAAAGAGUA